GACGAACGCUGGCGGCGUGCUUAACACAUGCAAGUCGAACGGAAAGGCCCUGCUUUUGUGGGGUGCUCGAGUGGCGAACGGGUGAGUAACACGUGAGUAACCUGCCCUUGACUUUGGGAUAACUUCAGGAAACUGGGGCUAAUACCGGAUAGGAGCUCCUGCUGCAUGGUGGGGGUUGGAAAGUUUCGGCGGUUGGGGAUGGACUCGCGGCUUAUCAGCUUGUUGGUGGGGUAGUGGCUUACCAAGGCUUUGACGGGUAGCCGGCCUGAGAGGGUGACCGGCAACAUUGGGAUUGAGAUACGGCCCAGACUCCUACGGGAGGAAGCAGUGGGGAAUAUUGCACAAUGGGCGGAAGCCUGAUGCAGCAACGCCGCGUGCGGGAUGACGGCCUUCGGGUUGUAACCCGCUUUCGCCUGUGACGAAGCGUGAGUGACGGUAAUGGGUAAAGAAGCACCGGCUAACUACGUG
RNAcentral lists this ribosomal RNA (468 nucleotides) under uncultured bacterium. Its description in RNAcentral is "partial 16S ribosomal RNA". It matches the Rfam family "Bacterial small subunit ribosomal RNA", at positions 28 to 507 of the family's 1533-position model. The record is from RNAcentral.